AUUGAACGCUAGCGGCAGGCCUAACACAUGCAAGUCGAACGAGUGGCGGACGGGUGAGUAAUGUCUGGGAAACUGCCUGAUGGAGGGGGAUAACUACUGGAAACGGUAGCUAAUACCGCAUACCAUCGGAUCUGCCCAUAUCGGAUUAGCUAGUAGGUGGGGUAACGGCUCACCUAGGCGACGAUCCCUAGCUGGUCUGAGAGGAUGACCAGCCACACUGGAACUGAGACACGGUCCAGACUCCUACGGGAGGCAGCAGUGGGGAAUAUUGGACAAUGGGCGAAAGCCUGAUGCAGCCAUGCCGCGUGUAUGAAGAAGGCCUUCGGGUUGUAAAGUACUUUCGGCGGGGAGGCGUUACCCGCAGAAGAAGCACCGGCUAACUACGUGCCAGCAGCCGCGGUAAUUC
RNAcentral lists this ribosomal RNA (406 nucleotides) under uncultured bacterium. RNAcentral describes it as "partial 16S ribosomal RNA". It matches the Rfam family "Bacterial small subunit ribosomal RNA", at positions 30 to 526 of the family's 1533-position model. The record is from RNAcentral.